GAUGAACGCUAGCGAUAGGCCUAACACAUGCAAGUCGAGGGGCAUCACAUGAAGUAGCAAUACGGAUGGUGGCGACCGGCGCACGGGUGAGUAACACGUAUGCAACCUGCCUUCAACAAGGGGAUAACCCGUUGAAAGACGGACUAAUACCCUAUAACACAGGGGUCCCGCAUGGGAAUAUUUGUUAAAGGACAACCGGUUGAAGAUGGGCAUGCGUUCCAUUAGCUAGUUGGCGGGGUAACGGCCCACCAAGGCAACGAUGGAUAGGGGAACUGAGAGGUUUAUCCCCCACACUGGUACUGAGACACGGACCAGACUCCUACGGGAGGCAGCAGUGAGGAAUAUUGGUCAAUGGACGCAAGUCUGAACCAGCCACGUCGCGUGAAGGAAGACGGCCCUACGGGUUGUAAACUUCUUUUAUACGGGAAUAAAGUGCCCCACGCGUGGGGUUUUGCAUGUACCGUAUGAAUAGGAUCGGCUA
This 481-nucleotide ribosomal RNA is filed under the name uncultured bacterium. RNAcentral describes it as "bacterial SSU rRNA". It matches the Rfam family "Bacterial small subunit ribosomal RNA", at positions 28 to 499 of the family's 1533-position model. The record is from RNAcentral.